RNAcentral lists this transfer RNA (71 nucleotides) under Ovis aries (sheep). It matches the Rfam family "tRNA". Rfam says of the family: Transfer RNA (tRNA) molecules are approximately 80 nucleotides in length. The record is from Rfam by way of RNAcentral. Lineage: Eukaryota; Metazoa; Chordata; Mammalia; Artiodactyla; Bovidae.
UCCUGGUGGCUCAGGCGGUAAAGAAUCUGCCUACGAUGCAGAGGAUCUGGGUUCGAUCCCUGGAUCAGGAA